GAUGAAGAACGUAGCAAAAUGCGAUAAGUAAUGUGAAUUGCAGAAUUCAGUGAAUCAUCGAAUCUUUGAACGCACAUUGCGCCCGCUAGUAUUCUGGCGGGCAUGCCUGUCCGAGCGUCAUUUCAACCCUCAAGCCCCCGGGCUUGGUGUUGGGGAUCGGCGAGCCUCCGCGCCCGCCGUCCCCUAAAUCUAGUGGCGGUCUCGCUGUAGCUUCCUCUGCGUAGUAGCACACCUCGCACUGGGAAACAGCGCGGCCACGCCGUUAAACCCCCAACUUCUGAACGUUUGACCUCGGAUCAGGCAGGAAUACCCGCUGAACUUAAGCAUAUCAAUAAGCGGAGGA
RNAcentral lists this unclassified non-coding RNA (343 nucleotides) under soil metagenome. RNAcentral's name for it is "partial contains 5.8S ribosomal RNA, internal transcribed spacer 2, and large subunit ribosomal RNA". The stretch from base 1 to 120 matches the Rfam family "5.8S ribosomal RNA", at positions 35 to 154 of the family's 154-position model. The record is from RNAcentral.